UUUCUUUUUUUUUUUUUUUUUUUUCUUUUUUUCGGAGCUGGGGACCGAACCCAGGGCCUUGCAGUUGCUAGGCAAGUGCUCUACCACUGAGCUAAAUCCCCAACCCCGAAGUUUUGUUUCUUAUUUAAGCUACUCACAGGGAUCUGAAGCAGCCAGGGUUCGUUCGUUCUUAUUUAUUUAUUUAUUUAUUUAUUUAUUUAUUUAUUUAUUUAUUUAUUUACUGAAUGUGAGCACACUGUAGCUGUCUUCAGACACACCAGAAGAGGGCAUCAAAUCCGACUAUAGAUGAUUGUGAACCACCAUGUGGUUGCUGGGAUUUGAACUCAGGACCUCUGGAAGAACAGCCAGUGCUCUUACUGUCUUUUUUUUUUUUUUUCUUUUUUGUCGGAGCUGGGGACUGAACCCAGGGCCUUGCGCUUGCUAGGCAAGCGCUCUACCACUGAGCUAAAUCCCCAACCCGAACAGAACAGCCAGUGCUCUUAACCACUGGGCCAUCUUUCCAGGCCUUUCUUCUUCUUCUUCUUCUUCUUCUUCUUCUUCUUCUUCUUCUUCUUCUUCUUCUUCUUCUUCUUCUUCUUCUUCUUCUUCUUCUUCUUCUUCUUCUUCUUCUUCUCCUCUUCCUCCUCCUCCUCCUCCUCCUCUUCCUCCUCCUCCUCCUUCUCCUGCUCCUCUUCUUCUUCCUCCUCCUCCUCCUGCUCCUCCUCCUCCUUCUCCUGCUCCUCCUCCUCCUCCUCCUCCUCUUCCUCUUCCUCCUCUUAUUUACUUACAUCCUCUCCUUCUACCCUGUAGGUCCCAGGGAUUGAACUCAGGUCUUCAAGCUUGGCACCAAGUGUCCUUACCCAAUAAGCCAGCUUGAUGACCCUCUCUCUUCUCACUGAUUCUAAACAAAGAAACAAAAGCCAUUUAUGUACUCUCUGUAAAUAAUCCUAGCCAGGGUAGCUGGGCCAGUGUGGAGAAGCAUGAAACAGCUGGAACUGAGCCCUCCCCAAGGAUGGGAUGCACAGCCCUCCAGUCAGUCCUCACAGGCUGUGCAGCGUCAGCAUUAGAUUCUUUGAACUUUGCAUUUUCUGUUUCAGAGGCUCCCACUAGGGCUGGGGUCAUGUGACUGCCUCUGACUGCACUGACACUGGAAUCCACAGUUCAGCUCACCCAUGCCAUAGAUAAGGAGUGUGUAACCCAACGGGCUAGCAAUUUCCCUUCUCUAUGCCCUACUUCUUCAUCUACAAGGCUAAUCCUCACAGGGUGGCUCAGACAGAACUAUAGACCUCAGCAGCAAAGGGAGAUUUUAAGUUUCUGUUCAAGGGCCACUUACUGGUUACACAAUUGCAGCCAAGUUUCAUUCACCCACUCCCCCACCCCCAUCAUCACCUGGAGGCCAGUGGACAAGUGUGGAGUCAAUUCUCCCUAUCUUUUAUGUGGGUUCUGGGCAUCGAACUCAAGUUCCAGAGUUGUGGGGCUAAAAAGAUGGCUCAGUGGUUAAGAGCACUGACUGCUCUUCCAGAGGUCCUGAGUUCAAUUCCCAGCAACCACAUAGUGGCUCACAACCAUUUGUAGUGAGACCUGAUGCUCUCUUCUGGUGUGUCUGAAGACAGCUACUGUGUACUUACAUAUCAAUCAAUCAAUCAAUCUUAAAAAAAAAUUCCAGAGUUGUGCGUUACCUGCUGAGCUGAGCUCUCUCGCUGGUCUGCUCCAUCGUUUAUAAACAAGUACACAUGGAGAAGACAGAGGAGGUGUGCUUGCUUUUUGGGGAACCCCCUUCUAAUGAGGAAGACAGAAAAGCAGAGUGGGCUGGAGUGCUUGCUCAGCUGGUCAAGUGCUUGCCACCCAGGCCUGAGCACAUGAGUGCCAUUCCGCCAUCUGGAAAGACUGGAGUAAUAAAGCCAGGAGCACGUUAGUUAGUAACCGUUAGUAACCCAGCACUGGGAGGAGGAGGCAGAACUAUCCCUGGGCACUCUCCUACUUCAGUGAGGCAAACUUCAGGCCAAUGAGAGACCAAAUCUUUUUUUUUUUUUUUUUUUUUUUUUUUUUUUGGAGCUGGGGACCGAACCCAGGGCUUUGCACUUGCUCUACCACUGAGCUAAAUCCCCAACCCGAGAGACCAAAUCUUAAAAAACAAGGAACAAGGAAGGGUGGGAUGGUACAUGUCUUUAAUCCCAGCACACAGGAGGAAGAAGCAGGUGGGUCUUUGUGAGUUCAAGUCCAGCCUGGUCUAUAUAGUAUAAGACCCUGUCUCAGAAAAAAACAAAACCACCUCGAUAAACUACCACUCCCAGCUUGCUGUGGGGGCGGGGCGUAGGAUCCAAACUGUGGUCUUCACGCUUGUGCAGUAAAUGCUCUUAACUAACCUCUGAGGCGCCUCUCCAGCCUGAAACCUAGGUUUUCAGGCGUAUGUAGAGGCGAAAGGAUAGAACUUAGGAGCAGUAUGUGGUAAGUCCAGUGAUACCCUCCCUAAUAUUGGAGUGGAGGAAAAACCUGGGCCUGGCAGGGUGCUUUUAAUUCCAGCCAAGUGGGAGACUGAGGCCUGAACAAACUAGUGAGAUGCUGUGUAAAAUUAAAAAAAAAAAAAACAAAAAACAACAACAACAAAAAAAAAAAACAAAAACAGAAAAAGAAAAUGUCACCUCUCCACUCUGUACUGUAGAGGUGAUACAACCAGCUGCCCCCUCCCGCGCCCCAGUGACUUUCUGCAAUGAAGGACUGUAAUCUGGGAUUAAAAGGCAAAUAAACUAUAUUCACCCCUCAAAGAACAUAAACAUUAGGGGAAAAAGGUUAAUGGAAAAACAAAAUGAACCCCACCACAGAAUAGGUAAUAAAUCUUGGCAACUACUAUUUAUUUAUUUAUUUAUUUUUUUGGUUCUUAUUUUCGGAGCUGGGGACCGAACCCAGGGCCUUGCGCUUCCUAAGUAAGCGCUCUACCACUGAGCUAAAUCCCCAGCCCCUUUAUUUAUUUAUUUGUUUAUUUAUAUUUUCUUUUUUUGAGACAGGGCCUCAAAACUUACCUUAACAGGGGUUGGGGAUUUGGCUCAGUGGUAGAGCACUUGCCUAGCAACCGCAAGACCCUGGGUUCGGUCCCCAGCUCCGAAAAAAAGAAAAAAAAAAAACCAAAAAAACAAAAAAACUUACCUUAACCAAUUCCAGGGCAGGGGCAGGGGCAGGGGCAGGGGCAGAGGCAGGGGCAGGUGAAUCUUUGUGAGGUCAAAGCCAGCCUGGUCUACAAAAUAAGUUCCAUAUAUAAUAGAGAGCUCCUAUCUCAAAACAAAUAAACAAAUAAACCCCUUUCGUUCACCUUUUAAUCCUCCUUCCACCUCCACAGUGCUGGGUUAACAGACCUGGGUGAACAUCAGAGGCCCAGGCACUGGUUACUCAGGGUUUCAUGCAUUCACCCACCGAACUUUCUCUCCAGUCCACUUACCAUGCGAGCUCUCCCCCAUUUCUUUUUUUUUUUUUAAUUGGAUUUUUUAAAUAUACAUUUCAAAUGUUAUCCCCUUUCCCUAUUUCCCAUCCAUAAGCCCCCUAUUCCAUCUCCCUCCCCCACCAUGUAUGCUUUUGAGACUCAUUCAUUCAUCUCAUGAGCAAAGUCGGUACACAGUCGUUGCUUUGGGUGUCCGAGCUGUGCCCAGCGUCUAGUUUACCUUGCUUGCUAGCUGUGAUCCAUUCUUCAAUCCCUAUGAAAGGGUAUAACCAUGAAGCCCGUACACAAGGCAUGUAUGAACAUGAGAUGGAAUAAUAGGGCCAGCGUAAACAGGAGUUGCUUAGAAAACACACAGCAGCAGAGGAAAUCAGCUUUGAACAAAUAACACAUCCAUCUGGGUCCUCCUUUAAUAAGACCUGCCAGCGUCCGGUUGCCCUUCUGGCAUCCCGGAAUGCUCCGGGCGGAAAACCCUUUCUGAGAUCGGUGUUAAUUCAAAGUAGCCCGGGGACAUAAUCCGUAGGAAUCAGAGCUGGUCUGAAAUAUGAGUUGAGCUCUCUGGCCCUGGUGGAAGCCACUAAGAUCAGGGACAGGUCAGGAGCAGGAACCAGGAUGUCCUAUGGACUACAUUUCCCAGAGGCUACGUGCGGCAGGCGGAUGACGCAGACGCGGCUGAGGGCGCGAGCGUAUAUAAUUCAGCUGCAGGCCGCUCUCAGUCCUUUCUCUCCUCGUCCGCGUUCUUUGUUUUUUUGAUAUGGCGCCUUGUAUUUCUUUCCAGUCUUGCCCCCCGCCCCCCAUUCUCCCAGUUCUCCAGCCCACCGUACUCGGUCUGCAUCCCCGGAUGGUUCCUCAGUGGCCGCGGGAUACGGAGCCUGCUGCUAAGGAACCGGGAUUCUCCAUUUCGGCAGUAGAAGCACGGACCCUAAUGGUCGCAUGCGCAGUGAUAAUUCCGCGGCCUACCGACCGCGCCUUUUGACUGCUGUUCAGGUGAAGAUUGUGGUGAGGAAGGAGACCAGAAGAUGGGCCGAUGAGGAGACGAAGCAGGGCCUGUGUGCACUUGGGGGCGGUUCUUGGAAGAGUGAGGAGACAGCCUGUCAGCCUCUGCUCAUUAACCUAAGGACCAUGUGACCAGUGAGGUGGCCAUCUUGUGAUUUGGUCUGCAUUAUUUGUUGGAAAAAUGCCACAAGAAGAUCACACUGGGAUUUAGAAGUUUCUGGCUAAUACUUAGCCAGGUAGCCUUUUGUGGCCAGAUUGGUCUACAAAGAGAAACAGCAUUUUGGAAAAGUGAAAUAGCUUUGUAACCUAACAUGCAAUUGGUUCAAUAAAGACUUCAAAUUUC
Long non-coding RNA from Rattus norvegicus (Norway rat), 4748 nucleotides. RefSeq lists it as uncharacterized. The record is from RefSeq and is a predicted model, not a curated record. NCBI's taxonomy places the organism in Eukaryota, Metazoa, Chordata, Mammalia, Rodentia, Muridae.